RNAcentral lists this ribosomal RNA (253 nucleotides) under uncultured bacterium. RNAcentral's name for it is "partial 16S ribosomal RNA". It matches the Rfam family "Bacterial small subunit ribosomal RNA", at positions 524 to 776 of the family's 1533-position model. The record is from RNAcentral.
UACGUAGGGUGCAAGCGUUAAUCGGAAUUACUGGGCGUAAAGGGCGCGUAGGCGGCCUGUUAAGUCGAACGUGAAAUCCCUGGGCUCAACCCAGGAACUGCGUCCGAUACUGGCAGGCUUGAAUCCGGGAGAGGGAUGCGGAAUUCCAGGUGUAGCGGUGAAAUGCGUAGAUAUCUGGAGGAACACCGGUGGCGAAGGCGGCAUCCUGGACCGGCAUUGACGCUGAGGCGCGAAAGCCAGGGGAGCAAACGGG